Molecule: ribosomal RNA, 443 nt
Filed under: uncultured bacterium
Lineage: Bacteria
Description: partial 16S ribosomal RNA
Rfam family: Bacterial small subunit ribosomal RNA
Source: RNAcentral
CCUACGGGGGGCAGCAGUGGGGAAUAUUGGGCAAUGGGCGCAAGCCUGACCCAGCAACGCCGCGUGAAGGAAGAAGGCUCUCGGGUUGUAAACUUCUUUUGUCAGGGACGAAGCAAGUGACGGUACCUGACGAAUAAGCCACGGCUAACUACGUGCCUGCAGCCGCGGCAAUACGUAGGGGGCAAGCGUUAUCCGGAUUUACUGGGUGUAAAGGGCGUGUAGGCGGGGAAGCAAGUCAGAUGUGAAAACCACGGGCUCAACCUGUGGCCUGCAUUUGAAACUGUUUUUCUUGAGUGCUGGAGAGGCAAGCGGAAUGCGGGGUGUAGCGGUGAAAUGCGUAGAUAUACGGAAGAACACCAGUGGCGAAGGCAGAAUGCUGGACAGUAACUGACGCUGAGGCGCGAAAGCGUGGGGAGCAAACAGGAUUAGAUACCCUGGUAGUC